GGCCUCCUGCCACUGUAGCAUGAUCAUGACAGGCGGGUCCCGGUCCCCGCGCCCACCUCGCGCGAAGCCCAGAGAACUCCAGAGACUCCCCUCCGCGAGCUCCAGGCACCGACGGAAAAAAUACUCACUACCUCCUUCUCCGGUGGCCACGGGCGCCAACGCCUCUCGCCUCUCGCCUUCGCCUCCUCGCGCGACGCCGCCGACCGAAUCCACGCUGCCGCCACCAGGACCGAGCCGCCACCUCCCAGCUCCACCUCCCCAUCGGAGCCGAGCCGCCGCCACCCGGAUCCACCUCCCCGAUGGCGCUGCCUCCUUCUUCGCUCACUCCGUCCGCCUGCUCCUCGCCCCUCCGCCUUACCCAACCGAGGUCAGCGGCUCGCCUCCUGCCGACGCCGGUGCUGGUCCGCCGCCUCCUGGCCUCCUGGGCUGCUCGGUGUGAGGAGCGCACCGAGCGGGGCCGCGGCGAGGCCGGAGCCGAAGCUGAAGCAGCAGGAGAGCUCACGCACCGCGCUCGAUCUCGCCCGGAUCCACCUCCUCCGCCGCCGGCCAAAGCCACCGGAGCCGCGCCCCACCGGAUUCAAGGCGCCGCCAUCCGAGCCCGCGCCACACUGAGCCACCGUCACGAACUGCUGCGGCGAGUGGCAGCUACGGACUCCGCCGGUAGAAGCCAUUGAAGAUAAAUCUUUCAUGAGUUCAGCAAACUGCAUAGAGGCUAGGAAUUGCCCAAACACAUCAACAAUGUCCCUAUCCUGUACAACAUUCACUUGCAACAGCAAUGGAGAAAGUUCAGGAAAGCCAAAGCUCACUUUUGGCAAUGACAUCAAUGAGCUGAGUUUCAGAGUUUAGGGACCAAAUUAAUGGAGACACCGAUUGCUGACUACAUUGUUAGCCAGUUAUAGUGAGACCAAAGGAAGUGACACUAACAGUUUUAAUGGAGAUGGCAGUCUUUAAAAGAUCAGAGACUCAGAGUUGAGACAUUGCCCCUUUGAAUCAUGUUCGCUUUGCUGAAUGAGUUUGAUUUGUUGACAUAUCAUAAGGGUAUAUAGUUCAGCUGUGUAGUUAUAGAAGCAAAUUUUCUUUUCUCAACAAUAAGGAGGCAAUAAAGUUUUGUGGUUAUCAUUAAAGCAGAUUUCCUUUUAAGAAAAUAACAGGAGAGCUACUAUUUUAUGAUUAAAGCAAGAAAGUUCAGUACAGAAAGAAUGUCAAAGUUAUUAUAAUUUAUGGAAACAAAGCUAAGCUGCUAGAGAUAAUAUGAUUUAUCUACACUGAGUUUUCAUCCUCUUGCAUCUUCGAAGUUACAAUUUACAUAAUUAGUAGCUUAGCAAAAUAAAUUUGUUCUAUCAUUUUAGGUGCAAAUUGGUGCCAUGUUUACAAUUUUGUC
Molecule: long non-coding RNA, 1381 nt
Organism: Phragmites australis (common reed)
Lineage: Eukaryota; Viridiplantae; Streptophyta; Magnoliopsida; Poales; Poaceae
Exons: 5
Source: RefSeq, a predicted model, not a curated record